Molecule: ribosomal RNA, 602 nt
Filed under: uncultured bacterium
Lineage: Bacteria
Description: bacterial SSU rRNA
Rfam family: Bacterial small subunit ribosomal RNA
Source: RNAcentral
CCUACGGGAGGCAGCAGUGAGGAAUAUUGGACAAUGGGCGCAAGCCUGAUCCAGCCAUGCCGCGUGCAGGAUGACGGUCCUAUGGAUUGUAAACUGCUUUUAUACGAGAAGAAACACCCCUACGUGUAGGGACUUGACGGUAUCGUAAGAAUAAGGAUCGGCUAACUCCGUGCCAGCAGCCGCGGUAAUACGGAGGAUCCAAGCGUUAUCCGGAAUCAUUGGGUUUAAAGGGUCCGUAGGCGGUUUAGUAAGUCAGUGGUGAAAUCUCCCCGCUCAACGGGGAAACGGCCAUUGAUACUGCUAGACUUGAAUUAUUAGGAAGUAACUAGAAUAUGUAGUGUAGCGGUGAAAUGCUUAGAGAUUACAUGGAAUACCAAUUGCGAAGGCAGGUUACUACUAAUGGAUUGACGCUGAUCGGACGAAAGCGUGGGUAGCGAACAGGAUUAGAUACCCUGGUAGUCCACGCCGUAAACGAUGGAUACUAGCUGUUGGGUGCAAACUCAGUGGCUAAGCGAAAGUGAUAAGUGUCCACCUGGGGAUACGUUCGCAAGAANAGAAUAAUAGAUAGAGCGNGAGAGNGCGAGACGACGACGAGGAGGAGG